Molecule: ribosomal RNA, 465 nt
Filed under: uncultured bacterium
Lineage: Bacteria
Description: partial 16S ribosomal RNA
Rfam family: Bacterial small subunit ribosomal RNA
Source: RNAcentral
GACGAACGCUGGCGGCGUGCUUAACACAUGCAAGUCGAACGGAAAGGCCCCCUUGUGGGGUACUCGAGUGGCGAACGGGUGAGUAACACGUGAGUAACCUACCCUUGACUUUGGGAUAACUUCAGGAAACUGGGGCUAAUACCGGAUAGGAGCUCCUGCUGCAUGGUGGGGGUUGGAAAGUUUCGGCGGUUGGGGAUGGACUCGCGGCUUAUCAGCUUGUUGGUGGGGUAGUGGCUCACCAAGGCUUUGACGGGUAGCCGGACUGAGAGGGUGACCGGCCACAUUGGGACUGAGAUACGGCACAGACUCCUACGGGAGGGAGCAGUGGGGAAUAUUGCACGAUGGGCGGAAGCCUGAUGAAGCAACGCCGCGUGCGGGAUGACGGCCUUCGGGUUGUAAACCGCUUUCGCCUGUGACGAAGCGUGAGUGACGGUAAUGGGUAAAGAAGCCCCGGCUAACUACGUG